This 177-nucleotide small nucleolar RNA is filed under the name Penaeus monodon (black tiger shrimp). RNAcentral's name for it is "small nucleolar RNA SNORA23". Lineage: Eukaryota; Metazoa; Arthropoda; Malacostraca; Decapoda; Penaeidae. The record is from RNAcentral.
UGUGUGGUGUGUGUGUGUGUUUGUGUGUGUGUGUGUAUGUGUGUGUGUGUGUGUGUGUGUGUACAUACACACACACACACACACACACACACACACACACACACAUAUAUAUAUAUAUAUAUAAUAUAUAUAUAUAUAUAUAUAUAUAUAUAUAUAUAUAUAUAUAUAUAUACACAU